This 301-nucleotide ribosomal RNA is filed under the name uncultured bacterium. Its description in RNAcentral is "partial 16S ribosomal RNA". It matches the Rfam family "Bacterial small subunit ribosomal RNA", at positions 509 to 807 of the family's 1533-position model. The record is from RNAcentral.
CAGUCGCCGCGGGAAUACGGAGGGUGCAAGCGUUAAUCGGAUUUACUGGGCGUAAAGCGUGCGUAGGCGGCUUUUUAAGUCAGGGGUGAAAUUCCGGGGCUCAACCCCGGAACUGCCUUUGAUACUGGAAGUCUUGAGUAUGGUAGAGGUGAGUGGAAUUCCGAGUGUAGAGGUGAAAUUCGUAGAUAUUCGGAGGAACAACAGUGGCGAAGGCGGCUCACUGGACCAUUACUGACGCUGAGGUGCGAAAGCGUGGGGAGCAAACAGGAUUAGAUACCCCCGUAGUCCCUGUCUCUUAUAC